This 1095-nucleotide long non-coding RNA is filed under the name Anas platyrhynchos platyrhynchos (common mallard). RNAcentral's name for it is "lncRNA (ENSAPLG00000031122.1)". The record is from RNAcentral. Lineage: Eukaryota; Metazoa; Chordata; Aves; Anseriformes; Anatidae.
UAGAAUGCCAUGGGACAAACAGAGAUUUAUUCAAAGGAUUUUUAUUUAUUUAUUUAUUUAUUUUUAGCAGUAGAUCCUAUAGUAAAGACAUUAAUAAAAUCUGAGUUGUUUUUGUUUGUUUGUUUGUUUGUUUGUUUGUUUGUUGGGGGGGGAAGGAGGUCUGUUUUGCUUUACUUGCUUAGCCUUUUUAGGACUACAUUUGAUUUUGAGAGACCACAAUAUUCCAAUACGUAGUUCCUGUUCUGAUGCUCAUGCUUCAGAUUCCCAGCCAGGAGCUGGAGCAAGGAAUGCUCUGGGGAAACUCUGAGCCUCACUUCAGUGGCUUCUUGGGACUCAGUUUGAAGGUGUAUCUGCCAAAAGAAAUGCACCAGGGAAAUCUGCAUCUCAAGAAGAGAGUGGCUACAGGUUCCGUUGUCCUGUAUUUUGUCAUCUGCAAGAGAGCACAAAAACAAACUUGCAGCCUGAUACCAGCUGCUUCCCAUGGAAGCCUUUCUUAGAGUACUACAACUCCUAGUUCCUGACCUUGCUGCCAUUUGCUCACAACAUCUCUUUGACACUAGUGUCACAGCUUGCUGAACCCUGAAAUGUCAUUAAAUCUUUGUAUAAUGGUAAGUUCAUCAAGUGCAUCACAUUCAGUUUUAUAUUGGCUGCAAUGACAUUUAUAUUGGCUACAAUACGACAUUAUUGAAUGCAACUAACACUAUUGAGCCUGCUCAGAAACAAGCCUAACCUACUAAGAUUGCAAUGAAUUAAAAUAAUAAUAACAAUAAUGUAGAGUGAGAAUUUUUGGCAUAAGUAAUUGAUCAGAUUGGUUAUAUGGAAGGCAGAUCAUGUUUAUAGGAUUUAAGUUGGAAGUGGUUAUGACAAUUUCAAAAUUCAACCAGAAUUUUCUCAUCAUCAUUGGAUUCUGUGUAUAGAUCUCUACAUAUUUUCUACUGAAACUGGACCAUUGCUCAAGAAUGGCAAAAUUCAUGGGGAGGACAAGGAGAGGACAGAGAUGUGCAGUUCAAGCACUUGGCUGGAAGCAGGCGACUGGCUCCUUCUGAUGUAUGUUUCAUUUGUAGAAAAUAAAUGUCUAAUGCUAAAGAAAUAUCA